Schizosaccharomyces pombe (fission yeast) is the source of this 1026-nucleotide non-coding RNA. The record is from the annotation of a GenBank genome assembly. NCBI's taxonomy places the organism in Eukaryota, Fungi, Ascomycota, Schizosaccharomycetes, Schizosaccharomycetales, Schizosaccharomycetaceae.
AUUCAAUACUUUCUUUCAUUUUCCUUUGUUGCAUGCUUUAUACCAUAGCAGGUUAUGCACUAAUCACAUGGACUAUAAACGAAGACAAAUGUCCGAAGGUGGUCAAAGUGCGAACCGCUUAACGAACCUUAACACAACAGUGUCAAGAGAAAGCUUCGCAUGUUGAAAAUUUUAAAAAGACGCAGAAAGGAUACUUUUGCAGUAGCAGCAAUAGGUCGACCAAAAUACUGGCUCAUAGAAAGUAGUAGUAUUAUAUUUAUGAUGCUAAAGAGGUUGCUAAUUAGGAUGCAAGCGAUGGGAAUAUCAAAGAAAUGUAAUAAAGAGUAGUAGGGACAAACACUCAAGAAAUAGAAUUUUAUUUUAUUUUUUUAUAUUUUAUUUUUCUUUAGUAACAAAUGGAACUCUGGUUCGUUAAGUGAAAACAAAAAAAAAAGACACGUUGGCAUAAAAUCGACUCACAUUCAUCAAUCAAGACCAACUUUGAAACACAUUAUACUGCUACUACUACUACUACAUUACAACCGUUGUGUUUUUGUUUUACAACUACCAAUCCAGUCAAUCCCCCACAUAGACCAAAAUCUCCCACACACGUGAACCCCAGUCCAAGUCUUCACCAGUCCCCUCCAUCCCACCCUUUCCUAGUCUUAACGCUCACCCUACCCCCAUAAGGAUCGAAAUCCCCCACUUUGCGACUUUCAAAGUACUGGGCGGAAACUGGCGUAGCUAAUGUCUAAGAUGUCAGCGUAGGUGGCGAAUUUUAGUGUCUCGGGUAUAUCUGUUUACACAAGCGUUUGCUACUAUUACCAAUUCCUAAAUACAGAAUAAUGGUUUAACCAACCGCUCGAUAAACUCUGUUUCCCAUUUUUUUACUCUCAUCGCUUGGCCAUGAUUCGCUUCGCAUGCAUUAAAGUAAUUACGGCACAUUGACGUAAUAAACCUUAUUUUGAGGUCGUACGAAAAGAGCCCAACUCCUCGCGGCCGUAGUGGACGUGCGGGUCAACAAACCAAACUAAACAAACGCUAUCA